GAACGUGCGAAACGUAAUGUGAAUUGCAGAAUUCAGUGAAUCAUCGAAUCUUUGAACGCAUCUUGCGCUCCUUGGUAUUCCGAGGAGCAUGCCUGUUUGAGUGUCGUGAACUACUCUCAACUUCAAUCUUUUUGUUUGAAGUUGGAUUUGGGCGUUGUUGUGGUGGUGUCCACUCAUGACUUGUCCUAAAUGCAUUAGCGGUCUGACUUGAUCACACACAAUGUGAUAAGAAAAAAGCAUUGUUACCAUCAAGUGCAGGACUGCUUCUAACUGUCGCAAGACAAACUUCAUGUCAUUUGACCUCAAAUCAGGUAGGACUACCCGCUGAACUUAA
This 334-nucleotide unclassified non-coding RNA is filed under the name uncultured Geastrum. RNAcentral's name for it is "sequence contains ITS1". The stretch from base 1 to 106 matches the Rfam family "5.8S ribosomal RNA", at positions 50 to 154 of the family's 154-position model. Lineage: Eukaryota; Fungi; Basidiomycota; Agaricomycetes; Geastrales; Geastraceae. The record is from RNAcentral.